GAUGAACGCUGGCGGCGUGCCUAAUACAUGCAAGUCGAGCGAACAGACGAGGAGCUUGCUCCCCUGAUGUUAGCGGCGGACGGGUGAGUAACACGUGGAUAACCUACCUAUAAGACUGGGAUAACUUCGGGAAACCGGAGCUAAUACCGGAUAACAUGUUGAACCGCAUGGUUCAACAGUGAAAGACGGUCUUGCUGUCACUUAUAGAUGGAUCCGCGCCGCAUUAGCUAGUUGGUAAGGUAACGGCUUACCAAGGCAACGAUGCGUAGCCGACCUGAGAGGGUGAUCGGCCACACUGGAACUGAGACACGGUCCAGACUCCUACGGGAGGCAGCAGUAGGGAAUCUUCCGCAAUGGGCGAAAGCCUGACGGAGCAACGCCGCGUGAGUGAAGAAGGUCUUCGGAUCGUAAAGCUCUGUUAUUAGGGAAGAACAAAUGUGUAUGUAACUAUGCACGUCUUGACGGUACCUAAUCAGAAAGCCACGGCUAACUACGUG
This 497-nucleotide ribosomal RNA is filed under the name uncultured bacterium. RNAcentral describes it as "partial 16S ribosomal RNA". It matches the Rfam family "Bacterial small subunit ribosomal RNA", at positions 28 to 507 of the family's 1533-position model. The record is from RNAcentral.